Molecule: transfer RNA, 67 nt
Filed under: Emmelina monodactyla (morning-glory plume moth)
Lineage: Eukaryota; Metazoa; Arthropoda; Insecta; Lepidoptera; Pterophoridae
Description: tRNA-Ser
Source: RNAcentral
AAUUAAUGAGCUUGUGUAAAAGUAUUUGUUUUGAAAACUUAAGAAAGAAUUAAAAUUCUAUUAAUUU